UGGGGAAUAUUGGACAAUGGGGGGAACCCUGAUCCAGCGAUGCCGCGUGUGCGAAGAAGGCCUGCGGGUUGUAAAGCACUUUGGUUGGGGAAGAAGGCUGGUUGAUGAAUAAUUGAUCAGAUUGACGUUACCCAAAGAACAAGCACCGGCUAACUCUGUGCCAGCAGCCGCGGUAAUACAGAGGGUGCGAGCGUUAAUCGGAAUUACUGGGCGUAAAGGGUGCGUAGGCGGUUGAUUAAGUUAGAUGUGAAAUCCCCGGGCUUAACCUGGGAAUUGCAUUUAAGACUGGUUGGCUAGAGUAGAGUAGAGGGAAGUGGAAUUUCCGGUGUAGCGGUGAAAUGCGUAGAUAUCGGAAAGAACAUCAGUGGCGAAGGCGGCUUCCUGGACUCAUACUGACGCUGAGGCACGAAAGCAUGGGGAGCAAACAG
This 428-nucleotide ribosomal RNA is filed under the name uncultured bacterium. RNAcentral describes it as "bacterial SSU rRNA". It matches the Rfam family "Bacterial small subunit ribosomal RNA", at positions 355 to 775 of the family's 1533-position model. The record is from RNAcentral.